RNAcentral lists this ribosomal RNA (116 nucleotides) under uncultured bacterium. RNAcentral describes it as "partial 16S ribosomal RNA". It matches the Rfam family "Bacterial small subunit ribosomal RNA", at positions 1369 to 1482 of the family's 1533-position model. The record is from RNAcentral.
CGUUCCCGGGCCUUGUACACACCGCCCGUCACACCACGAAAGUCGGCAAUACCCGAAGCCGGUGGCCUAACCCGCAAGGGAGGGAGCCGUCUAAGGUAGGGUCGAUGAUUGGGGUG